CCUUUUGUAUAAUGGGUCAGCGACUUAUAUUCUGUAGCAAGGUUAACCGAAUAGGGGAGCCGAAGGGAAACCGAGUCUUAACUGGGCGUUAAGUUGCAGGGUAUAGACCCGAAACCCGGUGAUCUAGCCAUGGGCAGGUUGAAGGUUGGGUAACACUAACUGGAGGACCGAACCGACUAAUGUUGAAAAAUUAGCGGAUGACUUGUGGCUGGGGGUGAAAGGCCAAUCAAACCGGGAGAUAGCUGGUUCUCCCCGAAAGCUAUUUAGGUAGCGCCUCGUGAAUUCAUCUCCGGGGGUAGAGCACUGUUUCGGCAAGGGGGUCAUCCCGACUUACCAACCCGAUGCAAACUGCGAAUACCGGAGAAUGUUAUCACGGGAGACACACGGCGGGUGCUAACGUCCGUCGUGAAGAGGGAAACAACCCAGACCGCCAGCUAAGGUCCCAAAGUCAUGGUUAAGUGGGAAACGAUGUGGGAAGGCCCAGACAGCCAGGAUGUUGGCUUAGAAGCAGCCAUCAUUUAAAGAAAGCGUAAUAGCUCACUGGUCGAGUCGGCCUGCGCGGAAGAUGUAACGGGGCUAAACCAUGCACCGAAGCUGCGGCAGCGACACUAUGUGUUGUUGGGUAGGGGAGCGUUCUGUAAGCCUGUGAAGGUGUGCUGUGAGGCAUGCUGGAGGUAUCAGAAGUGCGAAUGCUGACAUAAGUAACGAUAAAGCGGGUGAAAAGCCCGCUCGCCGGAAGACCAAGGGUUCCUGUCCAACGUUAAUCGGGGCAGGGUGAGUCGACCCCUAAGGCGAGGCCGAAAGGCGUAGUCGAUGGGAAACAGGUUAAUAUUCCUGUACUUGGUGUUACUGCGAAGGGGGGACGGAGAAGGCUAUGUUGGCCGGGCGACGGUUGUCCCGGUUUAAGCGUGUAGGCUGGUUUUCCAGGCAAAUCCGGAAAAUCAAGGCUGAGGCGUGAUGACGAGGCACUACGGUGCUGAAGCAACAAAUGCCCUGCUUCCAGGAAAAGCCUCUAAGCAUCAGGUAACAUCAAAUCGUACCCCAAACCGACACAGGUGGUCAGGUAGAGAAUACCAAGGCGCUUGAGAGAACUCGGGUGAAGGAACUAGGCAAAAUGGUGCCGUAACUUCGGGAGAAGGCACGCUGAUAUGUAGGUGAAGUCCCUUGCGGAUGGAGCUGAAAUCAGUCGAAGAUACCAGCUGGCUGCAACUGUUUAUUAAAAACACAGCACUGUGCAAACACGAAAGUGGACGUAUACGG
RNAcentral lists this ribosomal RNA (1260 nucleotides) under Escherichia coli. RNAcentral describes it as "partial 23S ribosomal RNA". It matches the Rfam family "Bacterial large subunit ribosomal RNA", at positions 604 to 1850 of the family's 2925-position model. Lineage: Bacteria; Pseudomonadati; Pseudomonadota; Gammaproteobacteria; Enterobacterales; Enterobacteriaceae. The record is from RNAcentral.